Molecule: unclassified non-coding RNA, 267 nt
Filed under: Hevea brasiliensis (rubber tree)
Lineage: Eukaryota; Viridiplantae; Streptophyta; Magnoliopsida; Malpighiales; Euphorbiaceae
Source: RNAcentral
AUCUUCUAGCCAACAGCAGGAGGUUCGCAUAUUUGUUUUUGUAUUAUUAUUAUUAUCCAUCCUCUUCUUUUAUUUAUUUCAUGUUUUAAAGUGGCUUUACCAUAUAAUAGUCUUCAUUUUGACAUCAAAAUUUGAAGUUUCCCAAUGAGAAGGCACUUUCUAAUGUCAGUCAAAAUUCAAUUUCCACAUAUGGUCAAGAUUUCAGUUCCAAUCUAAAAGUCUGAUUUGUAUGCUUUUAAAUUCCAGGAUUCUGAUAAUCAAGAUGAU